This is a long non-coding RNA of Alligator mississippiensis (American alligator), 4193 nucleotides long. RefSeq lists it as uncharacterized. The transcript is spliced from 4 exons. Lineage: Eukaryota; Metazoa; Chordata; Crocodylia; Alligatoridae. The record is from RefSeq and is a predicted model, not a curated record.
AAGCUGCCUUGUGCACCUCCCAGGGUCUCUGUCCAUGAGGACCCUCCGUGCAGCGCCAUCUGUACCAGGUUCCAUGGCUGCGUGCCAGGGGUUGCAGACCCGAGCGGCCUCACGCCGUUCCCAGGGUCUGGGCUGCGUGCACCGCUGCAUGCACCGAGUGGUUGGAGAUCCAAGCUGCCUCAUGCAGCUCCCAGGGUCUCGCCCCAUGCACCGCUCCAUGCAUCUCCAGGGACGGAUGCCAUCCACUGCUCUGGGUCCAGCAAGAUGCGUCUUCGAGGGGCUCUUCAGGGCAACUGGAACUGCCCCGCUGGCCUGCUCACGCCAGCUCUUCUUUGCCCCACUCCCUUCUCCAUCCCUCAAUGCAUCUGCCAUGUGCUGGGCACGCUGCUCCUUUUAUACGCUCUGGAGGCUCCACCCCUGGAGUGCUGCUGGAUCAGCAAAGUGUAGGCUUCAAUCAGGUCUGGGGCUCUUCGCUCCCCCUCCCCCACAGGCAGGGCAUGGGGUAAGCCCCUCCCAGCAAUUACCUGAUUGGUAGAUGUGCUCCACCAAUCGCAGCAGAGAUUCUCCAAGCCCGGGUAGGCUGGGCUGCAAUGGUAAGUCUGCCACAUAGCCUACUGUGGACUGGUAUUAGGCUAAUGCGCAGUAAGCGUCACUAAAUAACCAUGUGCCAGCACUACUGCGCAGUAACUUCAUGUUCUGCACAUUUAGUUAGUACAGUCAGGCCUCGAUUUACACCGUGUUUUUGCAUGGUUUCAGCUAUGCACGGUUAAUUAAUUGUGACCCUUUAUUUUUGUACACAGUAUGGACUCACUUUUACACAGUGCAGCAUGAUUGCAGAUGCGUCUAGGAUCAGCUGGUCGUUUCCUCCAUGCUGCUCUCAGUGUAGCCGUACAGAUGCUGAUCCCCACUUCUCUGGAUGUAGGAGCACAACGGCCGGCCUCCCGUCCUACCGAACAGAUGCUUCGCACGAGGGGGUGCAUUACAUUGGUGGGAAAGUAGCGGGUUUCGACUUUCCGACGCUCGAUCCAAUAACAUCGUUCCUAUGGGAAAAUCGGUUCCAAGUUACGAUAUUUCGACUUAAGACGAGACUUUCAGGAGCCAAUUGUGUCGCAAAGAGAACCUGGACCGUCAGGCCUGACUAUAAAGCCGGUGGAGUGAGUUGUACAUGAUGGAUGAAAUGAAAAACCUCUGCUAAGUACACAGCAAACGCAGGGGCUGCGGUGCAAUCGAGGCCACGCUGUGUGCUUUUACAGCAGAGGUCACGUACUAGGUUUAUUUUGCCAGCUCUCGAGGAUCCGGGGCAGGUGGCACAGAGAGUAACGGCAGAGCGCUAGAAUUGCCGAUCUCGGGUCUCUCAAAUGCAUGCAGAGUGAAAAUACCUGGAUGCUUAUAACUUCUGCCCAACAUGUUUCAACCCCAGCACCCUGUUCUCUGCCUGGGAUACAGACCCUGCAAAUGCUUAGAAGUAUUGUGUUGCUUUUGGUUUGGCUUUUGUCUCAUGAAUAACUCUGGAAAAGGAAACUCUUUCUAUCUUAUGUUGAUUUUUAGUCUGCAAACUUGAGGGGUUUCCAUUCCUUUCUUCUCUAUAGGUGUCUGAGAAUUCACAAAGGGGGAAGGAAAUACACUUCCAAAGUGUGAUACUAGAUGCAGAACAGAUGCCAGUGUCUCAAACGAGGUUAUUUUUGUGCCAACUGCGGCAGGUUCUCCUUUGAGGCUUUUCUGCUAAUAAAUUAAAGUAACACCGCUCACAUGCAGCAUUGCAGAAUCAUUUCAAAGGGUCAGGGAAGAAAUGAGAUGCAUGCUGUGCCUCCCAGCACUCAGUUAAACAUCUCAAUUAUUUGCAGUCUGAUCAUACUCGGGAGACCUGCCAGGAAAAUGGGAUUUCUGUUCCACGGGGAAGGCUAACGCUCCGGCAUAUUCCUGGGAAUGAAAAUUGUGAUCCUUUUCAGUUCAGGGCCAUCAGAUUACUUGGUAGUUAACUUCUAAUUUUGAAUAUAGACAUUGAAAAUAAUUGAAAUUGAAUUUUGAGAGUAUUGGCGUGAAACAAGCAAGCUGAAACGACGCGUUCUCACUUUUUUUUCCCCUUGAGACGUUCAGUCAGGAUGGGCACAUUGCUUUGCCACAUUUCUGUUUUGACAAGGAUGCUUUUUCUGAUGAGCAAGUGCUCUGUCGAAAUCUUUAUGCCUGGGUCGAAUACUCAGUUCUCUAGGCUCACUUCCAUCCAUGGCCCUUUUCUGUACAAAAUCCCAACCCUCCUUUAUUGAGUACCAGAUGAAGCCUAACGAAAUCCCAGAUGGAGAGAGACCUGAGCAACGCUUGUGCUUGUGCAGAGACCGGCAGCAUGGUUCAUAUCUUGACUGUGGUCUCUCUCUGUGUUUACCUCUGGCUCAGGAAGACAGUAUAAUUGUUUGCAGGAGAUUUCUCCCUUCGGGACAGGCAGGAAGCCAUGCUGGUUGGUCCUGUGCCCUACGCCUAUUCCUUUAGUACUGGGCACAUGGCUGUAUCAAGACAGUGGUGUUUCCUGGCGGGGAUGCCCCUGAGCACUGGCCAGCCACCCUGUCUUGAAACAUGCCCCGAACUUGGAGAUACUUUGGGGUCAAUCCUCUGCAGCAGCUCCCGAGACCUCAUUCCUUAGCGUGCUUGAGAGCAACUGCCCUGCGGUGUCUUCACUGGGGUAUUUCCAGGGCCGGCAGCACCAGGUGAGUGGAGCCUGCUUGGGGUCAUCCCAGCUAGGACAUACAGAUGCUGUGGUGCACAUAUACCCCGAGUCCCAGAGGCCAGGUUACACCAGAUAGUCAAGGCUCCUUUGAGGCACGUGGCCCUGUGCUGCAUUCAUGCUUCCUUUGCAAUGCAUUUGACACCCACCAUGGUCCAUGACCAUACUCAGGUCCUUCUACGAGGGAUCUUCUUCUGAUGUGCAAUGAGGAAUGGAGGGUAGAAGAGGUGUUAUCUGGGUCUGAUGCAUGGGCAUCCUUUGGUGGACACUUGGUUGAUGCUGAAUCUUUUCAUCUCCUAACAGGUCUUCCUCCUCACUGCGUGUUCGGGGUGCAGUCUAGUCAGACUCAACCCCACGCCAGGUGGGAGCUUCCCAGGGGCAUUCCCGUGGGCUGGUUAAGCCUUUGCUUUGCAACUCUCCUGCGGGAGCUGAGAUGGCCUAAGCGGGCUGCAACCAGGUUCGGAGCCUGGGCUGAGAUGAAGGACCCGCUGCUGCAUUUAUCCGUUGGCAUCUUGGCGGGCACGCCUUGCAGAGCUCCCUGGAAUCGGAUAUUUAUGUGCGACCUGGCUCUGCCUUUCCUUGCGUGCUUUGGAGCCUAGUGACUGUUUGGUAACGAUGGCAAGACCCUCGUCCCGUCCUUGUGCGGGUCCCCUUCUGUGUAGUAGCAAGGGCUCCCAGGGAAAACACGCGUCUCGGGAGGGUUGACACGCUGUCUGCAAGCGUAGAAAGAGCGACAGAAAUAAACGGUGCUGGCAGCUGUCUUGUUGAUGAGGAUUUCGGCACAGAUUAGGGACACCUUCCAUACAAAAGGCUCCCCCCGUCAGGUUAGCUGCAUGGAUCGGUGCUGAUACAAAACAGUAGCGAACGAAUAAAACCCAAUUGAUUGCUUGCUGCUUUGUUCUCAUUACCAACUUCCCAGCUCUUCCAGCUGUCUGAGCUAUUUGAAGCGGACGGUAUUAUUUUAAACAGGGGCUUUAUCUUGUUCUGUACGAACGAGGAGGGAAGAUAUUUGAUCCAGAUAAAUCUGUGCUAAGAUAAGGCACGAACAGACAGGAGCAAGAGGGUGCAGUGAGGUGCUGUGAUGGGAUCUGGCCUGCAGAAGACACACCGGACUCUCCCCCAGAUCAACGUGAGUUCAGUCUUUGGGUCUGGCUGGCCCUUUAGGGGAUGGGCCAUGGUUAUACAUGUCUGUUCAUGAUCCCCAGCUAGACGUGGGCGCACAGCCUGUCUGGGGCUCUGCUCAAGGCCAGCGGGACUGUCCACAGGUGGCAGGGGCUUCCCGGGAGCAGCCAGUUUAGCAGGGAUUGGGAAAAGCAUUCCCGUUUCUGCAGUACUUUUCAAAGAUUUUCAUUUACUUUUGUUUUCUAUCAACAUUUUUAUUGUAUUUUUCAAGUUUUUUCUUAAAAAAAAAAAAAUUCUAUGAUUUUUGUGUUUAUUGUUGAAACCUGGGAGGGGGAAAAAAAAAAUCCUCAGAAAA